Long non-coding RNA from Pelmatolapia mariae (spotted tilapia), 194 nucleotides. RefSeq lists it as uncharacterized. Lineage: Eukaryota; Metazoa; Chordata; Actinopteri; Cichliformes; Cichlidae. The record is from RefSeq and is a predicted model, not a curated record. The transcript is spliced from 3 exons.
AGAGGAAAACACUUUCAAAUGACAAUUCUGGAGAAGAUGGGCCUGCAGGGGAAAGUCACCCCCUUGCAGGCCAGAAGACAUGAGAUAACUUUAAAGAAUACAAAGGUUGCAAGUAUCCAGGCUCAGGAGAGGGGGUCAGUGGGAAGCCCACUGCUGCUACUUGGCCCUGGUUUGCCCUCAUGGAUGAGGUGAUA